Molecule: unclassified non-coding RNA, 220 nt
Filed under: Hevea brasiliensis (rubber tree)
Lineage: Eukaryota; Viridiplantae; Streptophyta; Magnoliopsida; Malpighiales; Euphorbiaceae
Source: RNAcentral
UCCUUUUAUUUUGUUGACUAACCAUUUGGCUCCUCCUUCAAUACUGCUCGACAUUGAGUUAAUGUCGUCGCCGACAGAAUUGAGCUCCUUGUUGGCCUUCUGGCCCAACCAAUAGGAACCAACCUUGUUCAGUAUCUGAUCCAUGUAUGCAGCGCUCUCUCUCAAAUCCUCGAUUGAACAACUGGUUUAAUUAUCUUGAAAAUUUCUCUCUUUUUUUUUU